This is a non-coding RNA of Theobroma cacao (cacao), 205 nucleotides long. The record is from RefSeq and is a predicted model, not a curated record. NCBI's taxonomy places the organism in Eukaryota, Viridiplantae, Streptophyta, Magnoliopsida, Malvales, Malvaceae.
UCCCUUAUUAGACACUCAAGUAAACCAUGUAGUUUAGAUAUUCCUUGGGAUCUAAUAUAACCAAUUCUCCACAAUGAUCAAACAGGGAGCACAGAGCAAAUGGACUAAAGGUCAAUCUUGAAAUCUGCAGCAACUGACUGUAAGGAUUGACUUGCAGGAAAUCAUAUCGUGAAGAAUGAAAGCACAAGGCUGCAAAUUGAUGAGA